GUUGAGCAUAGCCUUUUGCAGUAGGAU
RNAcentral lists this non-coding RNA (27 nucleotides) under Mus musculus (house mouse). Lineage: Eukaryota; Metazoa; Chordata; Mammalia; Rodentia; Muridae. The record is from RNAcentral.